This 517-nucleotide ribosomal RNA is filed under the name uncultured bacterium. RNAcentral describes it as "bacterial SSU rRNA". It matches the Rfam family "Bacterial small subunit ribosomal RNA", at positions 8 to 561 of the family's 1533-position model. The record is from RNAcentral.
AGAGUUUGAUCCUGGCUCAGAACGAACGCUGGCGGCAGGCCUAACACAUGCAAGUCGAAGGAGAAGCCACCCUCGGGUGGUGGAAACUGGCGCACGGGUGAGUAACGCGUGGGAAUUUGCCCUGGGGUGGGGGAUAACCGCUGGAAACGGCGGCUAAUACCGCAUACGCCCUGCGGGGGAAAGAUUUAUCGCCCUGGGAGAAGCCCGCGUUGGAUUAGCUUGUUGGUGGGGUAAAGGCCCACCAAGGCACCGAUCCAUAGCUGGUCUGAGAGGAUGGUCAGCCACACUGGGACUGAGAUACGGCCCAGACUCCUACGGGAGGCAGCAGUGGGGAAUAUUGGACAAUGGGCGAAAGCCUGAUCCAGCCAUGCCGCGUGAGUGAAGAAGGCCUUAGGGUUGUAAAGCUCUCUCACCCGUGAAGAUGAUGACGGUAGCGGGAGAAGAAGCCCCGGCUAACUCCGUGCCAGCAGCCGCGGUAAUACGGAGGGGGCUAGCGUUGUUCAGAAUUACUGGGCGU